UUUGUAAUAUUUAUUUAUGUUUUGUAAUAUUUUUAAUGAGGGUUACAUUUGUAUUGAUUAUUAGGGUUGGUUACAUGGUUACUUGUGUGUGAGAGAUAGAGAGAGAGAGUAUAAGGUUGGUAAAUGUGGUUAAAAGUGUAAAAAAAAAAAAAAAAAAAAAAAAAAAAUUGGUUACAACAGGUUGGGUUUCCUUUUUUUUUGGUGUGUCAUAUUUUUCAUGGUUACGGUUACAUUGGAUAUGGAUAUGGUGAUAAUGAGGAUAUCAUGAUGGAAUGGUGGUUACUUUAACACGGAUGAAAAAGUACAUAAUAUAUAGUAGUGUAGUAACAUAAAAACAGAAAGUUGUUUCCAAAUGUGGAAAAUGGACAAAAUUAUCACGAGGUUAAUUUAUUUUUAAAAAUAGUAUAAAGUUUGAUGGAUGGAUUGAGAGUAACAAUAUGUAUUUUGUGAGGAAAUAACGGGUGGAAAAGGGAUCCAAUGUUGUUAUGUUUUUACUUUUGAAAUCUGUAACUGUAAUGGUUUUUCUUUAUUAUUUAUUUAUUGUUGUUUUUAUUUGUAUUCUUAAUGAACCCACCUUUUAUUUAUUAUUUUUAUUUUUAUUUUUAUUUUUUUCAAACAACAAAAGAAACAUCGAAAAUGGCUGGUAUAGAACCCCAAAAUAUCACCAAACAUGACGUAGAAGAAUGUUCAAUUUCUUGACCAAAUAUGUGGAAAAUUUUGGUGCGGUUACAUAUGCACAAUAUCCAACAUUUUCAAAAGAAACAAAAAAAAAUUUUUUUCAUCAAACCACAUUUAGGUCAGGUAUGCGUGGCUGGAUCUGGCAAAAAGUAACGAUGUUACUUGUCUAAGACUGAUGAAGCGGGUGUAAAGAUGAGUCUGGUGGUGAAAUGGAGAAGGCUGGAAUGCAAAAACAGUCAUUCGAAAGGAAAAUUUUCAUCUUUACGAAAUUCGAUAGGUCCUUUAUCACGUGUUGAACACAUCAUGAGGCUCAAGUGUUUGGUUUUGUUCUGUGAAUUUACAAGAAUGAAAAAGAUCGACAGGCAAAUGGGUCAAAAGUUGAAAAGUGAAAGAGGGAGUAGAGGUAGUUGUAUGGAGGAAGAAAAUAGAUAAUUUAGAGGAAAUAGAUGAGAUGCAUUUCUUUUACAAUUUUGAGUAAUAAACAUCCAUGUAGCUGAAGCCAGAGUGCAAAAAAAAUGCAUUUAGAGUGUGUUUUCCUUGGGGAAGGGUGGGGCAUGUUAUGGGAAGGUGGAGAGAAAAAAUGAAAAAAACAAGGUAAUUUGUAGGAUUUUU
Non-coding RNA from Schizosaccharomyces pombe (fission yeast), 1290 nucleotides. The record is from the annotation of a GenBank genome assembly. NCBI's taxonomy places the organism in Eukaryota, Fungi, Ascomycota, Schizosaccharomycetes, Schizosaccharomycetales, Schizosaccharomycetaceae.